This 88-nucleotide transfer RNA is filed under the name Limnochordales bacterium. Its description in RNAcentral is "tRNA-Leu". It matches the Rfam family "tRNA". Rfam says of the family: Transfer RNA (tRNA) molecules are approximately 80 nucleotides in length. Their secondary structure includes four short double-helical elements and three loops (D, anti-codon, and T loops). Lineage: Bacteria; Bacillati; Bacillota; Limnochordia; Limnochordales. The record is from RNAcentral.
GCCGGAGUGGCGAAACUGGUAAACGCUGCGGACUUAAAAUCCGCCGCCCGUUAAGGGCUUGCGGGUUCGAUUCCCGCCUCCGGCACCA